Molecule: ribosomal RNA, 508 nt
Filed under: uncultured bacterium
Lineage: Bacteria
Description: partial 16S ribosomal RNA
Rfam family: Bacterial small subunit ribosomal RNA
Source: RNAcentral
GACGAACGCUGGCGGCGCGCUUAACACAUGCAAGUCGAGCGAGAACCAGGGCUUCGGCCCUGGGGACAGCGGCGAACGGGUGAGUAACACGUGGAUAACCUGCCCUCGGCACCGGGAUAGCCCGGGGAAACCCGGAUUAAUACCGGAUGGCCCUUCCGGCUCACGAGCCGGUCGGAAAAGGUAGCUUCGGCCUCCGGCCGAGGAUGGGGCCGCGGCGGAUUAGCUUGUUGGUGGGGUAACGGCCCACCAAGGCUCCGAUCCGUAGCUGGUCUGAGAGGACGAUCAGCCACACUGGGACUGCGACACGGCCCAGACCCCUACGGGAGGCAGCAGUGGGGAAUCUUGCGCAAUGGGCGAAAGCCUGACGCAGCGACGCCGCGUGAGGGAGGAAGGCCUUCGGGUUGUAAACCUCUUUCAGGAGGGACGAAGCUACUCGGGUGAAUAGCCCAGAGGGUGACGGUACCUCCAGAAGAAGCCCCGGCUAACUACGUGCCAGCCGCCGCCGUAA